Molecule: long non-coding RNA, 384 nt
Filed under: Apteryx owenii (little spotted kiwi)
Lineage: Eukaryota; Metazoa; Chordata; Aves; Apterygiformes; Apterygidae
Description: lncRNA (ENSAOWG00000006652.1)
Source: RNAcentral
AUGCCUAAAAUUAGGCCUAAAAAUUAUACUCUUUUAGGCAGCUGUGCACCUGCCACUCACUUGAAGUCAAUUGGACCGACAGAUGCUGCUCCCAGAGGAAGGAAGAAGAGUGCGAGGGGCUUUGUGCUGAGGUAUCCUUGGAAGAAGGCCCAUAAAAACAUGGCAAUUAUCCUCAUCUCAGCUUGCCUAUUGAGAAAUAAUCAAACCUAUGAUGAGCCUUUUGACCUGUCAGACCUCUUAACUGAACUAUAACUGAAGAGAUUCACCAUAAAAAGACCCAUGUGCCACGGACAGACUCUGCUGGGAAGAGACUGCACUGACACACUCACAGUUCCCCUGGAGGUAAUCAUUUGAGUGCUUGUCUGUAUCUAGAUCUUUCCCAUG